CGUGUAGGCGGAGGAGCAAGUCAGAUGUGAAAUCCCGGGGCUUAACCCCGGAACUGCAUUUGAAACUGUUCCCCUUGAGUAUCGGAGAGGUAAGUGGAAUUCCUAGUGUAGCGGUGGAAUGCGUAGAUAUUAGGAGGAACAUCAGUGGCGAAGGCGACUUACUGGACGAUAACUGACGCUGAGGCACGAAAGCGUGGGGAGCAAACA
This 207-nucleotide ribosomal RNA is filed under the name uncultured bacterium. RNAcentral's name for it is "partial 16S ribosomal RNA". It matches the Rfam family "Bacterial small subunit ribosomal RNA", at positions 568 to 774 of the family's 1533-position model. The record is from RNAcentral.